GGCCAGACUCCUACGGGAGGCAGCAGUGAGGAAUAUUGGUCAAUGGCCGAGAGGCUGAACCAGCCAAGUCGCGUGAGGGAUGACGGCCCUACGGGUUGUAAACCUCUUUUGUCGGGGAGCAAAGAGAGUCACGUGUGGCUCAUUGAGAGUACCCGAAGAAAAAGCAUCGGCUAACUCCGUGCCAGCAGCCGCGGUAAUACGGAGGAUGCGAGCGUUAUCCGGAUUUAUUGGGUUUAAAGGGUGCGUAGGCGGGCUUUUAAGUCAGCGGUAAAAAUUCGGGGCUCAACCCCGUCCGGCCGUUGAAACUGGGGGCCUUGAGUGGGCGAGAAGAAGGCGGAAUGCGUGGUGUAGCGGUGAAAUGCAUAGAUAUCACGCAGAACUCCGAUCGCGAAGGCAGCCUACCGGCGCGCAACUGACGCUCAUGCACGAAAGCGUGGGUAUCGAACAGGAUUAGAUACCCCUGUA
Molecule: ribosomal RNA, 465 nt
Filed under: uncultured bacterium
Lineage: Bacteria
Description: bacterial SSU rRNA
Rfam family: Bacterial small subunit ribosomal RNA
Source: RNAcentral